This 6573-nucleotide long non-coding RNA is filed under the name Sus scrofa (pig). RNAcentral's name for it is "lncRNA (ENSSSCG00060075783.1)". The record is from RNAcentral. Lineage: Eukaryota; Metazoa; Chordata; Mammalia; Artiodactyla; Suidae.
GAAAGUUGUAAGUGCCUUUCCUUAUGUUGGCAUGGGAUCUCAUUUCAUCCUGUGCAGCCCUUGGUAGAAAUCAAGAUUCUUACCUUUACGCUGGUCCUUCAUAGCAUUCAUUCAACAAAUCUUUAUUGAGCACCUACUGUGUACUUUCCUGUGCAAGUUGAGGCUCUUUCUCUCAGCUCCUCUUGCUGUGGAGCCAACUUAGAGGCAGGGCUCAUAUCAUGCUUAUUUUAAUACUUAAUUAAGAGCCCUUCCUCUGAGGCACAUGCUAUUCACAUUUAGCAUUUGUGUUUCAGUCAGUGCAAGCCAACUGCUGUAACAAACAGCCCCUAAAGCCCCAGUAAAGGACUAUUUCUUGCUCCAGCCACAGUCCCACUUGAGGAGGUUGGUCCUUGCCCUGUCCCAUGCGCCUUGCUGUAUUAUUGUCCACAGGUUCCAUCCAUCUGCUGGCUGCCAAGGUCUAGGGUUCCUCACUGGAUUCCCCUGCGUUUGGCCUUCAGACAGACAAAGAGCAAAACGGGGGAGGAUGUCGUGAAGGACUUUUUUAGGGACCAAGUAGGGAAAUGUAAGCGUCUCUUCUGCCUGCAUUUCAUUGGCCAGGACCGGGUCACAUGACCCACCCAACUGCAAGGGAUGCUGGGAAAUGCAGUCAGCCCGGAUGCGCACGAGGAAGGGGCCAUGGCGUUGGUUGAACACAUAGCAGCGCCCCCACCCCAAUCUCCCACCGCCCCAGCCGUGCCAUCACUGUCAGCUUCUGAGGGCACACUUCCCGGUGUGGCUUUCAUCCCUCCUCCCCUGUUCCGCCCGGAGCCUUGACCUCCGUUCAGAAUUACGCGUCAGUAUCCUGUCCUCUGACCCCAGCACCGUAUCUUCCAUAUGCCCUUUGUUAUUUCUCGUCCUCGGAGACCUCUGUUUUGGACCUUUUUAAAUAGUCAUCAUCCCGCCUUGCCUUGGUUGCUUUCGGCGGUUCUGGUGAUCCCCUGAUUCUCCCUCUCCCCAGCUCUCUCACUUCUCUCAUACCUUGUCCUCCCCCCUUAGCCUUGACCAUCCUACCGGCCAUCUCUGCUCCCCGCGUCUGGCCGCCCAAGGCUGCUGAAGUCCUGACAGGUACCGCCUUUCCUGAUUCCAGAUCUCCACCUCUGUCUGGCCUCAAGCCUUGGUCAGCUCUUUCUAUGCUGCAUUCAGUGGUUAUUCAGAUUAUCAACAGACUCCUUUUUUUUUUUUUUUUUGGCCACGCCUGGGGCAUGCAGAAGUUCCCAGGUCAGGAAUGGAACCGGAGCCCCAACAGCCACUUCUCAUUCUUCUCUCAGCAAACAGCUUCAUAAUAGAGAAUAAGUCAAGGACACCCUCAGCUUCCUGCUCCCCUCACUCCAAAUCUGCCCACUGAUUAAACAUCCCUUUCUCUUUGGACCCAGAUAAUGAGGUAUCUGCAGCCCCAGGUCGAGGUUGGUCUUUGUUCUUCCCACUGGUCUUCCAUCAAAUAUUCCUUUUUCCUCGCACUCUGUCCCCCUCCUGGUUCCUUCCAUCUGUUCAUACAUGGCCCUUUACCUUUGAUCUUGAAAAAACACACCUUCCGCCAGCCUUGCUACCCCAUCUCGCUGCCACCCACUUUUCUGUCUCAUCUUUUCAACAGAACUUCUGAGGAUGGAGGGCGGCGUUAGCCCUUUUCAUCUCCUCACCUCCCAGGACCUCCUGACCGGUGAAUCCUAAACAUCGGAGAAUUAUGUCCUAUGGGAAAUUGUGUCAUUUUACUGAAAUUCUUGGUAUAUUUACAACGGUUAGCCUCUACCUCUGCUUGAAAUAUCUUCUCCUUGCUUCUGUGACCCUUCUCCCUCCCACUUCUCAGCUCAUCCUUCUUUUCUGGUGAUAUUUUUCUUACUCAUCCCCCUUGGGGGCUCCUGUUCUUUGUUCAUUAAAUCACUUUUUUUUUUUUUUUGAAUUGUGACUUUUAAUUCUUAAAGUAUAGUUGAUAUACAAUGUUGUACCCCUUUCUGCUGUACAACAAACUGACCCAGUCAUCCAUACAUGCAUGCUUUUAACACCCUAACCUUUUACCAGCAGCCCCCCUUUUCUUUUUGCUCACAUUCUCCCCUGAGACUCUUAUGCCAGGCUCACACUUCUACUUAGAACUUGUGGACUGAGGCCCCCGGGUUGGCUAUUGAGUCAAGUCUUUUCGUGGACAUGAGGAACAAACAUCCCUGCUCUUUUUAUUGGAUGUCUUUACUUGUUUGUCCACAGCCACUUACAUCUGAUGCCUGUGAAAUGGAUCACCUGGUCUCCCUCUCCCCUGACCUCAGCUUCCCCUGUCUCCUUGAUUCCUUGUACCAAGGAUGUAACAGAACCACGUUUCCUCGGCGUCUGAAGCCAGAAUCCUUAGCAUCAUUUAUCUCUCCUCCUUUUUUCCCUCUAAAUCCACUUAGUUCCCAGGCCCUGCUAGUUUUGCUUCAUGGAUAUUUCUUGAAUCUCUUCCUGCUAUGACCGGUCUCGUUGAAUCCCUCAUUACAACUUGCCUGGACCAUGCCAGUGGCCUCCUUACACGUUUCCCGGCCUCUGGUCCUGCCCCAUCUCUCGCUCCCCUAACUCUGCAUUUACGAGCUUUCAACCCUGCGCUGGGUCAGACUCCAUUGCUCCUUCUGGCACCCAAGCCAUACUGAGCAACACAGCAUGAGGUUACUGAGCGCAAGUUGAAUAGACUUCUCCGGUUGUGUGAAAACAAACCAGAACAAGUAUCGUGGGGCAGUGCUGCCCAAGUGGGUCUUUGCAGCUCAGAAUAAAAUCACAGCGACAGCCUCGUAUGUGGAUUCUGAAAGAGCCAAACCUUAAAUAACUUAGAUGAAAGUACAAAUGAUGUGCUGUUGAAAACUGAUGACUCAAGAGUCCCUCUUGUGAAGGCAGCAGCACUGGCGUCAAGGGCACAGAGAUGGCAUAAAACUCUCUGUGAAACGUGAGAACGAGCAAAAGCAACAUUUCUUUCUUUUUUUUUAAUUUUUAUUUUUUAGCUUUUGAGGGCCGCUCCUGAAGCAUAUGGAGGUUCCCAGUCUAGGGGUCGAAUCAGAGCUGCAGCUGCCGGCCUACACCACAGCCACAGCAACGCAGGAUCCCAGCCACAUCUGUGACCUACACCACAGCUCAUGGCAACACCAGAUACUUAACCCACUGAGCGAAGCCAGGGAUCGAACCCGCAACCUCAUGGUUCCUAGUCAGAUUCGUUUCUGCUGCACCACGACGGGAACUCCAAAAAGCAACAUUUCUAAGUUAACAUGUAAUAUCGUACGUUAAAUAUGCAUAUACAACUAAGUCAAUAAACUCAGCAGUGAAAGUGAACAUUUGACAAUUUCAUGUGCAUCUGCAUCUCCAUACAUUCACGUUAGCCAGCGCUUUCCUUUGUAAUGGGAAACGGGGAUUUGCCCUUGAUUUCAAGUCAGUGUAUAUCUGGCCAGUGUAAGAGUUUGUCAGGGCCUUGAUUGACUCUUAGGUCUUUUCAUGCCUACGGUUGAGCUUGGUGACCGUUCCUGGGUGCUCCCCAACACUUAGCUUAAGAAACAAGCUCAGAGCUGCCCAUUGAGGCAAAGUGGUGUUGGCAGUGUGGGACUCUGAAAAGACAUGCCUUGUAAGAUGCUUAGAAGCUUCUCUGUUUGGGCUGAUGAAUGUUCCAGAAGGCCUUUUGAAAUUCCUAAACCCAAGCAACCACUAACUCCCUCUGUUGUAAUGGGUAGAACUGUUAUACUCGGAUUCUCUGGCGUGGCUUUAUUCAUAUCUACCGAAUUUUUGAUGGAAAGUUUAUAUGUUGAAGGCUUUGUACAGUCCUUUUCUUAGCCCUUCGGUAAGAUACCCAAGAACUAGAAGGCUUUCAAAUGCCUCAUAAUUUAAUGGAGUUCAAAAUGUAGAAACAAAUUUUAUCUCAAAAGUUUUGACAUGAGUGUGGAAGUCCUACGUCUCACGGGCAGUAUCUUCAUCUCAAGGAGUAAUUAUUCGAUCCUGACUCGGGAAAGAAUUUUCCAGCUCCUGGCAUGGCUCAGUUAACAAAAAGAGAAAAAAAAACAAACAAACAUGUUUUUAGAAACAGUGACUUGAGGACAAGAGAAACGGAGUUUCCAAGGAGAGAUGGGAGCUGUUAGGGAAACUUUCGUUUUCUAAACUCCCACUGAAAACAACCAAGAGAUGGGGAAAAAUAAUUUUUCCCACAGUCACAUUCCUAUUUAGGGCUUAGGCUUGUAUUUAGUGAGGACUGAAAGAACAAAUGCCAGCACAGAUCUGCUGAGGAGAGCUGGUAGUUUUAAUGAGCAUUUUUUCCCCCUUUCUAUAUUUGCUGUAGUCCAGGCAAGCGUGUACAUAAAUAGCCACAAUUUGUAAAUUGUUCCUGACAUAUUUUCUGCUCUUUGAAUUCCCUGAGUGCCUGCAACAUAAUUAGAAAGAAGCAAUCUUUUUGCAUCCGUAAUGGGGAAAAAGGACAUGGUUUCAGCAUGCAAAUAGGAUGUUACCUAAACAGAAGAUUAUAUAUGCAGCCAGCAACUGUUCUCGUCACGGAGACAGAAAAGGAGCUAUUGAAAGCAUCGGGAACUGUUCCUAGCUCUGCUGGCAUUUCUCUCUGCUGCUCAGAGCCACCUACUGCGCACACAGGUGCAGGGAUGGUUCCCGUGAAAGGGCAGAAAUGCAGCCCCCCAGGAGACGUGCACACAGUCUUAUCGGAUGUUUCUGUUGUGAAUUUAGGCUACGGGCUUGAAAAGAGAGUUUGUGUGGUGCUUCCUCUGCCCUGUUACAUAGACCUUCCUCCUGAUACAGACCAGAAGAACUAGACAAACUUUACAAGGCAUUUAGCUUCCAGCUUCAGUUGGUGACCAACCAAUUGCUUCAUUCAUUCAUUCAUUCCUUCACUCGUGCACUCAUUGAGCAUCUGCUUGUCACCGUCCUAAAUUCUGGGGCCUCAACAUCCUAAAAAAUGAAGCGCAUCUCUGCACAGAGCUCCCAUCUGACAGGGGAUACAAAUAAUAGACAAAGAUGCAGAAUACAAUCAAUGUUCUCUGGUUCUAUGGGGAAAAAUAAAGCAGAGUAUUAGGAUGGAAGUGUGACUGGACUAUUAUUUUAUUUUAUUUUAGGGCUGUUAUUUUAGAGAAGGUAGCCAGGGAAGGCCUAGGAAGAUGGGUUUUGAGAUGAAGGAGGGGACCACUAGAAUGUCUGCAGAGAGGGCAUCUGGUUAGGGGAGCAUCCCAGUCAAAGGAAGCAUCUUGGUUAAGGAAGCAUCAGUGAGAAGGCCCUGGAGCUGGGAAGCACUUGGUGUCUCUGAGGGACAGCCAGAAGACCAGUGGGAAUAAGGGGAUCACGGAGAAUAGGCCGCCAAGAAAGUGAACAGAUCUUGGGCCACUGGGCCCUUCAGACGUCAUUCCAAGUAUGACAGCAAGAAGCCAUCGGGAGGUUUUGCUCAGAGGAGUUACAUGGGUUGAUGUGAGUUAUAGCGUGUUGUUCUGGUGGCCAUGUGGAAAGUAGAUGCUGGGAGCUGGGGGCCAAGAGUGGAAUCCAGGUUAUCAGUUGGGAGGUAUGUUUGUGGUAGGAGAGGAAGCGACUUGGGCUGAGGAAGCGGCGGAUGUGGAAGGCUGAACUGAUGGGGUUUGCUGAUGGAUGAGGGCUCUGGGAGAAGGAGAAAGGCCAGCCAAGAUUCCUGGGCUUUUGGACGGAGCGACAGGGUGAAUGGCUGGAGAAGAGCAAGACUAGGGUGGGAGGGCGCCUCCUGUGUGUGAUGGCUUUUAAAUAGCCAAGUGGCCAGAAAAGAAAAAAAGCCCUGAAAAAAUGUAAAUCAACUCUACUUCCAUUUUUUAAAAAACUCAUAAAAAUAGAAAAAAGCCAUCAAAAUUAAAAAAAACUCAGUGGACAGGUUAAACAGCAGUUAAGCUUAAAUGAUGUGAGACUCCUUUCUAUUGAGAACAGAUCUGGAAGUAUCUAGAAUGCAGCACUGAACAAGCUGAUAGCAAAUAAGAAGAACACUGAAACAGAGAAGACAGCUAGUGGUUGCCAGUGGGGGAGGGGAGGGGGGAGGGGCAACAUGGGGGAAGGGGCCAAGAGGUACAAACUCUCACGGAUAAAAUAAGCUAAAGCGAUUUACUAUUGCACAACAUGGGGAACAUAGCAAAUAUUUUAUAGUAACUAUACGCAGAAAGUAAUCUUUAAAAAUUGUAAAUCAUUGUAUUGUGUACCUGCAACUUAUAUAAUAUUGUUGUAUAGAAUCCUUCCAGUGCUAUAUCUAGUACCUUCGUCUAAAUAGCCAACUAUACUUAAAAAAAGAACACCGGGAGCUCCCCUCGUGGUGCAGCAGAAACAAAUCCCUAAGAACCAUGAGGUUGUGGGUUCCAUCCCUGGGCUCGCUCAAUGGGUGAAGGAUCCGGCGUUGCCAUGAGCUGUGGCGUAGGUCACAGAUGCGGAUCAGAUCCCAUGUUGCUGUGCUGAGGCUGGCAGCUGCAGCUCCCUGAGACCCCUAGCCUGGGAAUCUCCAUAUGCCGCAGGUGCAGCCUUCAAAAGCAAGCAAAAAAACAAACAAACAAAAAAACAAAGAAAAACACACCAAAAAAAAAAAAAAAAAAAAAA